This 111-nucleotide transfer RNA is filed under the name Daphnia pulex (common water flea). RNAcentral's name for it is "Selenocysteine transfer RNA". It matches the Rfam family "Selenocysteine transfer RNA". The record is from Rfam by way of RNAcentral. Lineage: Eukaryota; Metazoa; Arthropoda; Branchiopoda; Diplostraca; Daphniidae.
GCCUAGAUGAUCUUCGGUGGUCCGGGGUGCAGGCUUCAAGUUUCUAAAAAUUGGAUUAGAAGUUACCUGUAGCUGAUUAGCGUCAGAGUGGUUCGAUUCCACCUUCUGGGC